Molecule: ribosomal RNA, 1080 nt
Filed under: Ferrieria echinata
Lineage: Eukaryota; Metazoa; Arthropoda; Arachnida; Araneae; Anyphaenidae
Description: SSU rRNA
Rfam family: Eukaryotic small subunit ribosomal RNA
Source: RNAcentral
UGCAUGUCUAAGUACAUGCCGUAUUAAGGCGAAACCGCGAAUGGCUCAUUAAAUCAGUUAUGGUUCCUUGGAUCGUACUUUACUACUUGGAUAACUGUGGCAAUUCUAGAGCUAAUACAUGCAGCAGAGCUCCGACCUUCGGGGACGAGCGCUUUUAUUAGACCAAAACCAAUCGGACCUCGUGUCCGUCCUUUGUGGUGACUCUGUAUAACUUUGGGCUGAUCGCACGGGCCCGUCCCGGCGACGUAUCCUUCAAGUGUCUGCCUUAUCAACUUUCGAUGGUAGGUUACGCGCCUACCAUGGUCGUAACGGGUAACGGGGAAUCAGGGUUCGAUUCCGGAGAGGGAGCCUGAGAAACGGCUACCACAUCCAAGGAAGGCAGCAGGCGCGCAAAUUACCCACUCCCAGAACGGGGAGGUAGUGACGAAAAAUAACAAUACGGGACUCUUUUGAGACCCCGUAAUUGGAAUGAGAACACUCUAAACCCUUUAACGAGGACCCAUUGGAGGGCAAGUCUGGUGCCAGCAGCCGCGGUAAUUCCAGCUCCAAUAGCGUAUAUUAAAGUUGUUGCGGUUAAAAAGCUCGUAGUUGGAUCUCAGUUCCAGACGGGUGGUCCACCAACCGGUGGUUACUGCCUGUUCUGAACAGCCAGCCGGUUUCUCUUGAUGAUCUUCACCGGUUGUCUYGRGUGACCGGCAAGUUUACUUUGAAAAAAUUAGAGUGCUCAAAGCAGGCGYGACGCCUGAAUAAUGGUGCAUGGAAUAAUGGAAUAGGACCUCGGUUCUAUUUUGUUGGUUUUCGGAACACGAGGUAAUGAUUAAGAGGGACAGACGGGGGCAUUCGUAUUGCGACGCUAGAGGUGAAAUUCUUGGACCGUCGCAAGACGAACUACUGCGAAAGCAUUUGCCAAGAAUGUUUCCAUUAAUCAAGAACGAAAGUUAGAGGUUCGAAGGCGAUCAGAUACCGCCCUAGUUCUAACCAUAAACGAUGCCAGCCAGCGAUCCGGCUGUGUUCCUCAAAUGACACGCCGGGCAGCUUCCGGGAAACCAAAGCUUUUGGGUUCCGGGGGAAGUAUGGUUG